This is a long non-coding RNA of Suricata suricatta (meerkat), 1278 nucleotides long. RefSeq lists it as uncharacterized. NCBI's taxonomy places the organism in Eukaryota, Metazoa, Chordata, Mammalia, Carnivora, Herpestidae. The transcript is spliced from 5 exons. The record is from RefSeq and is a predicted model, not a curated record.
AAAAAUGCAUCCAAGUACAAUUUUAUGAAGCUAACUAACAGGACUGGCAAACCCACCAUAACCAUGCCCCUGAGGAAAGUCAAAGUUUGGAGCAGAGUAUCAUGAUUCACCCUCCAGAGAUGUUUCUUCCACCGGCGCCAGCACACUCACCUCACUAGUACAGGUGACUCUUCUCGGGUGAGGGGCCUCCUGCUGCAGCUGAUACACUGUGAAGACAGAAAGCGAAUCAUUCCAGAUACAUACUGUUCAUUGUCAAUUCUUGAGUUUGAGAAAAUUCACCUACCAUAUUAGCUGGCUUUUUUUUUCCCCUAUAAGCGGCCAGGAAAGGGGCCAAAUAUUUUCAGCUCUGCAAGCCAAGCCACCUCUCUCCCAACUACGUAACUCUGCUUGUACAGUGGGGGAGUAGCCCCAGACAACAUUAUUCUCCCAAUAAAACUUUACUUCGGAAAACAGUCAACCCAGGAAACCCGCCUAUCAGCAGGCUCCAGUCACUCGUAACCCACAGGGUACAAAGCAAUAUUUAGACUGUACACAGGAUUAACACAGCACGUCUUUUUAAAAAUAAUUUUAUGCUAAGAUUUGUAACUUUGAAAGUUUUGUAAUCCCAGCUGACUCUUGCUCUUCCCUAGGGAAAGGGGAGGUUAUGAAAGCCCUAAGAAUAGAAAUACUUCGUAACAAAAACUUAACUGGAACCGCUGGCACUUUUCUGUUAUUAGGGUAUUAUUCUUGCUGUCAAGUCUAAGUGAACAAUAAAAGCUAAUGCUCUGAGAAAAAGACAGGCUAGUAACAUGGACCAGCACCACCUUUGCAAUCUUCAGUUCACCAAGAAAGCAGAAGGACCCAACAGCAAGAUAAAGAAGAAAAGAAAAAAAGUUUUCACCCUAGGAACCCGUGUUUUGUUUGCUUAUUUAUUUGAAACAAAAACCCUCACAAACUCCCACACAUCAGUUCAAUUUCCUGCUGCAACUGCAUUUCAUCAGGUUUAUAAACCCUACUUCUCUGAUGCCAUACUCCUUGACUUAAGAUGGUUCAUCUUAUGAUUUUUCAACUCUAUGAUGAUGGGAAAGCAACAUGCAUCCAGGAGAACCAUCCUUUGAGUUUUGAAUUCGGGUCUCUUCCUGGGCCAGCCACGUCCAGGGGGAUCGUCCCGGAAUGCUGGGCAGUGGCGGCCGCUCCCAGUCAGCCAGCGAUCGUGAAGGGCAAACAGCUGAUAAGCUUACAACCCAUUCUGGUUUUCACUUUCCAUACAGUACUCAAUAAAGUACAUGAGAUACUCAA